CGAACCGUGCGAACGUUGUUCGGAAUCACUGGGCUUAAAGGGCGCGUAGGCGGCUCUGUUGGUCGUGGGUGAAAUCCCCCAGCUUAACUGGGGAACUGCCUACGAUACCGCGGAGCUCGAGGGAGGAAGGGGCGGCCGGAACUGUCGGUGGAGCGGUGAAAUGCGUUGAUAUCGACAGGAACGCCGGUGGCGAAAGCGGGCCGCUGGCCCUCUUCUGACGCUGAGGCGCGAAAGCCAGGGGAGCGAACGGGAUUAGAUACCCCGGUAGUCCUGGCCUUAAACGAUGGGCACUAGGUAGUGGGCUCGACCUGGGCGCACUGCCGCAGCGAAAGUCAUUAGUGCCCCGCCUGGGGAGUAUGGUCGCAAGGCUG
This 371-nucleotide ribosomal RNA is filed under the name uncultured organism. Its description in RNAcentral is "bacterial SSU rRNA". It matches the Rfam family "Bacterial small subunit ribosomal RNA", at positions 526 to 896 of the family's 1533-position model. The record is from RNAcentral.